RNAcentral lists this long non-coding RNA (4394 nucleotides) under Nicotiana tabacum (common tobacco). RNAcentral's name for it is "long non-coding RNA (NTAB_LNC007053)". The record is from RNAcentral. Lineage: Eukaryota; Viridiplantae; Streptophyta; Magnoliopsida; Solanales; Solanaceae.
CCGAUCGAAAUAGGACAUGUUCACGUUUUUGAGCAUCCAGGGCAGCGUGGGGCGCUGGCGCUCUAAUAUUUUAGCUGCUGUUAAUUGCGCCACAGCUAGCGCCCCACACAUCCGAAUGAUCCCUACACAUAGAAAUACCAAAAUUUAGCACAAAUAAUGAUAUUAAACAUCUCAAAUCGUCGAGACAUGAGCAAAAUGUGAGGCGGUAUAUAUCAAAAUAUGCAUACAUUAAGCCGAUUAUCAAUAAUCAACACUUGUACCUACCUGGAGCUGAGCCUGAGCGGCUACCAAUCUAGUCAACAAAUCGUACUGCACUCCACAUAUCUAUAUUCUCAUCAUGAGCAACGGGUGGAGGAACUAGAGGUAAGGAGUUCCUCCUCAGCUUUUGGGUCCUGGCGGAGUCGUAGAACUAUGUGAGGCUAUCACACUUCUCCUCGGGGCCUCACUCUAGCCCUCACUAGCCACAAGUGCUCUACUGAUGCCCUCAUCGGCCACUGCUUUACCCUUUUGACUAGCUAUAGCUUUCCUUGUCAUAGACAUCACUGUAUAUAUAACAAGUCAAGGGUCAAAGAUUUUAUUCUUUACGACUUUGCUCUACCUGCACGAUCUAAUAUCAAGAAGGAAGGGUAAUGAGUCCCUAAAUGCCCUGUAGUUUCUAGUUUAUAUAACAUGGUGCACAACACACUUAUAAAUACGACUCUACUAGACACAGCUUGCAGACAACCCUAGGACAGACCUGCUCUGAUACCAUAUUUGUCACGACCCAAACUGGAGGGCGACGACUAGCACCCGGUGCCUACUCAACCGAGCGCCACGUACCUCAUCCUUUAUUACUAUAAGACUCGUCACGGGCCAUGACAUGCCACAUCUAUAUAUAUAAGUAACAAUAUUAGAACUUAACUCGCAUAAAUAAUUCAAAAAGAUUCAUAUAGAUAUAUAUGGCCGACAAGGCCAUUGACAUGUCAUACCCAAAACUAUACACAGGACACCGUAUGCAAAACCUCUAAGAAAACCAUGACCAUAAUAUAUAAGUUGGUACAGGGCUCCCGACAUCCUCAUGAAAUAAAAUAACAUAUACAUAACUCUGACUCAGCAAUACUCAAGAAAGAAGUGGAGCUCACCAAACUGAAGCUGAUAUCUGGAGGCAGCCUACGAUGGAGGGUCCUCGCCUCGUCUAUCUAUACCUGCGUGGCAUGAAACACAGCGCCCCGGGCAAAAAGGGACGUCAGAUACUAUUACUAGGAGAGAUAAGAGUCAACUUGUAACCUCUAACUUGCCGCUGAGGGCCAUAACAUAUAUAAUAAGUCCAAUCUCGUAUAUAUAAAUAUAACUACAAUUUCAUAGUUCUAAUUACAUCAUUCUCGUGACGUUAACUGCCCAACUGAUUAGUGGUAACUGCCCGACCGACCUAGCUCAGUGGUAAAUGCAUUCUUCCCAACCGGUGGUAACUGACGAUACAUAACUGCCCAACCGGUGAUAACUGCCUAAUCAGACAUAGAUCAGUGGUGAAUACGUGUCUGGCCAACCGGUGGUAACUGACGAUACAUAACUAGCAAACCGGUGAAAACAUGCCACGAAUGGAAGUAACAAAUAUUUAUUCUAAUCAUUAUUUACAAUUACCCUCUUUGAGUACCUGUCUCAGAAAGGGAAACUAAUAAUCACAAUUUCCUUAGGGCGUCCUCGUAUGCUAUUACGUCUAAUAGAGAUCUAAUAGUUUGGAAUAGAUUCAACUUAAGGAACACAAUUGUCAACAAGCUAACUCACCUACUCUUUACUAUGCAUAUACACUUACGCAAUAGAUCAAAUGAAGAACUAUGAAACUUAAGAACAAAUAUGUACUCAUUGAGCUCUCAAUUCAACUAGUUACAACACAAUCAACAAUAGAGCAACCAUCAACUAUAAAAGUGAAAUAUCUAUAAUAAUUAUGCUUUCUAUUGAGUCAUUCCAAUUGAAAGAAGGGACAGCCAUUACAUACCUUUAGUACCGACUUUAUAGAAGGUGAUGAACUUGGCAUUCUUCACAAGUAAUCUCAAUAAGUGAAAAAAAUACAUAUCCUGUAAUUAGUUGCACCAGUAGAUAACCUCACUUCUUAAACAAUAAGGAUGCCUUCGUUGUUGCCAUUUUUGGUUCAUUGCAACAUAUACUUUCUAAAAAAAAAUUGCUAGUUAAAGAAGAUUUUCACUUUGAAGUUGUUUCCCCUUCUUAGUAUCUGUACGUUUUUUUGUGUCUUAGUAGUAGUGUAAAGUACAUGUAAGUCCUACUUUUCACCUAAUUUAAUAAUCCUUUGGAGUGGAUAAGUCAUAGAAAGUGAUACUAAUAUACAUACACGUAUAUGGCACCUUUACCAAGUAUAUUUCCCUUAUCCAUACCAUUGAUAAGAAUGUCCAUUUAUUAGGUGGGACCUACUUAGAAAAACAAAUUUGAUUCUUCAUCCCCCAUAAUCCGUUUUCAUCCACGGUAAGUGUAAAUAAAUAACAAAUUCAUGUAUAGUAAUAAAAUUGGAAAUUAAAAAUCCUUAUCUCAUACUUUUAAAAUUAUUUAAUAUUUUUCCUAGUCAUUAUCAAUAUUCAAAACUGAUUUUCUAUAUCACACGUCAUAUAAUAUUUUUUCAUACGGUCCGUAUAACUUGUUCCUCGUUCCGAAUUUAAACAAAAAUUAUUUUCCUUGACUCGUUUAACCUCUAAUUCUCAUAUCAAUUACUAAACAUGGUAGUAGACCCUUGUAGGACCCUUGUAACCUUCAAGAUUAACAUAAUUAGGUCGCCUAUAACCUCAAAUAUAAUCUCAUUUUCGAGCUUACUUCGAUUAACUUACGAUGAAACUUAAUGUUCAAAAUGCGGGAUGUAACACAGGUAGUAGGGGCGUCAGUACAAAUAAUGUAUCGAGUUUGUAAGGCAUGAAAAUAGUACAUAAAAGACAUGGAAGAAAUGUGGAGUGAAGGACUCAACCUUUAAGUCUCAAUAACUCUGUGAAUCAUUAAACAUUUAUAAUGUCAUGCACAUGCGUAAAAAUCUCAUAUCAGGAAUAGGUAUAUGCGUACAUAAUAUCACCAAGCCUCUGAGGGCAUCCCAUCAUAUCAUCUCGGCCUCAAUGGGCAAAAUUAUCAACGAAUACCAACUGAUUAGGUGGUGAUGCACAUAUAACGCCGUAACCUUUCCCCAUAUCACAUGUACAAAUUUACGCGUAUAUAAUAACAUAUGAUCAUGGGUCAAUGUACAUGCAUAAAUAAAUGCAAUGCAUAGUGAAGUAAGUCUCUAAGAUCUCUCGUGAUGUCAUAAGAUCAAUAUGCCUUCGGUUAAUAUCACAAAAUAAUCUUUAUCAACUUACGUAUUUUUUGAGACUUAUGAACAAAUGAUAUAAUAAUAGGACAUAUGGGGAAUCAAGAAUAUAUGAAACCCUAGUACUUCUAAGAAUAGAGUCAUUUGUGAAAGUUGCGCGUUUGCUCCUUUUAUUUGUCUCAUAUGUAUCAUGCCAAAAGAGAAUAAGGGAUAGCCUUAACAUACCUCAAGUCAUCAAUGCAACUCCACAACAAGCUUAUGACAACUCGCACGCCAAUCCUAUAACAAAGAUACAUGUACAACUAAGAUGGAACUAGUAUAUCAUGUUUCUCAAACGAUAACUCAAUUUUAAAAUAAAACGGGCAAUAUUUCCUUUGCUUUAUCUUAACUACCCUACAAUCAGCAACCAAAACAACAACGAGGACUUCAAUUAAUUCCUUUCUGAACUCAAUCAGUCAAUAUACAUGAGUGUACACCAAAACAGACUGAUCUACGCUUGUCUACAAUAUUCUUACACUCUUCCUUAAUUAAUAUUCAUGUAACACAACUACAACCACAUAACCACAACAUCAAGUAGCUAGAUAUAUACAACGAAAGUCCUUCAAUAACAUAUCAGUACACUCCCACAAACCAGAAUUUCUUUUUAAUCGUAACUUUCAACCUAUACUUCACAAGUUCUUCAUCAAUAACCAAACUAUGAUCCAAAUGACCUCAAAUAUAUAGAGAAGAGUAUGAUAUCACCUUGAACAACAAGGAUAACAACACAUAUACAUAUUUAUAACUAUAUUUCUAGCCUUUCAACACAACCAAAUUCUCCUCAAAUACAUUACAAGAACCUUUAUUUAUACAUCAAGAAUAAUUUAAAGUGAAUUUCUCCAAGUUGAAGAUGAAUUUAUCUAGAAAUAUUUCUAAAUCAUUACCUUAAUUACUUGGAGAAAAAGAAUAGGAUAAACUGGAGAGAAGCCUUCCCAACACCUUUACAACCAAAAACCCCACCAAACCAAGACUAAAAUUGCAAGAUAGUUGCCUUAAAGAGGGUUGUCCGUAUGGUGCAAUUGUAAAGAGCAUCUAAUUGAUUUAGAUGGUGCUUAUAUGAAUUUUAUAACGUGAAGCAGCU